GACGAACGCUGGCGGCGUGCCUAAUACAUGCAAGUAGGACGCACAGUUUAUACCGUAGCUGCUACACCAUAGACUGUGAGUUGCGAACGGGUGAGUAACGCGUAGGUAACCUGCCUAUUAGAGGGGGAUAACUAUUGGAAACGAUAGCUAAUACCGCAUAACAGUAUGUAACACAUGUUAGAUGCUUGAAAGAUGCAAUUGCAUCGCUAGUAGAUGGACCUGCGUUGUAUUAGCUAGUAGGUAGGGUAAUGGCCUACCUAGGCGACGAUACAUAGCCGACCUGAGAGGGUGAUCGGCCACACUGGGACUGAGACACGGCCCAGACUCCUACGGGAGGCAGCAGUAGGGAAUCUUCGGCAAUGGGGGGAACCCUGACCGAGCAACGCCGCGUGAGUGAAGAAGGUUUUCGGAUCGUAAAGCUCUGUUGUUAAGGAAGAACGAGUGUGAAAAUGGAAAGUUCAUACUGUGACGGUACUUAACCAGAAAGGGACGGCUAACUACGUGCCAGCAGCCGCGGUAAUACGUAGGUCCCGAGCGUUGUCCGGAUUUAUUGGGCGUAAAGCGAGCGCAGGCGGUUAGAAAAGUCUGAAGUGAAAGGCAGUGGCUCAACCAUUGUAGGCUUUGGAAACUGUUUAACUUGAGUGCAGAAGGGGAGAGUGGAAUUCCAUGUGUAGCGGUGAAAUGCGUAGAUAUAUGGAGGAACACCGGUGGCGAAAGCGGCUCUCUGGUCUGUAACUGACGCUGAGGCUCGAAAGCGUGGGGAGCGAACAGG
Molecule: ribosomal RNA, 772 nt
Filed under: Streptococcus anginosus
Lineage: Bacteria; Bacillati; Bacillota; Bacilli; Lactobacillales; Streptococcaceae
Description: bacterial SSU rRNA
Rfam family: Bacterial small subunit ribosomal RNA
Source: RNAcentral